AUUGAACGCUGGCGGCAUGCCUAACACAUGCAAGUCGAACGGAGGUAGGGGCAACUCUACUUCAGUGGCGGACGGGUGAGGAAUGCGUCGGAAUCUACCCUAUGGUGGGGGAUAACACAGGGAAACUUGUGCUAAUACCGCAUAAUGUCGAGGGACCAAAGCAGGGGACCGCAAGGCCUUGCGCGAUAGGAUGAGCCGACGCCCGAUUAGCUUGUUGGUAGGGUAAUGGCCUACCAAGGCGACGAUCGGUAGCUGGUCUGAGAGGAUGAUCAGCCACACUGGGACUGAGACACGGCCCAGACUCCUACGGGAGGCAGCAGUGGGGAAUAUUGGACAAUGGGCGCAAGCCUGAUCCAGCAAUGCCGCGUGUGUGAAGAAGGCCUGCGGGUUGUAAAGCACUUUUGUUCGGGAAGAAAUCAUGCUGGUUAAUACCUGGUAUGGAUGACGGUACCGAAAGAAUAAGCACCGGCUAACUUCGUGCCAGCAGCCGCGGUAA
RNAcentral lists this ribosomal RNA (496 nucleotides) under uncultured bacterium. RNAcentral describes it as "bacterial SSU rRNA". It matches the Rfam family "Bacterial small subunit ribosomal RNA", at positions 30 to 523 of the family's 1533-position model. The record is from RNAcentral.